CAGAGCUGGAGUCAGGUUACACUUUCUCCAGAGAGUCUUUCCAGAAACUAGCCCUCCUCCAACUGGCUUAGUUCCGUCCACUGGGAGCGCACAGACCUCUGUAUCUAGCCCCAUUGUAGCAUGUGUCACUCUGUAUUGAAAUUGUCUAUAUAUGUGUCUGUUUCUCCUCUAGGUGCAAGAUUCCUGUGGCCAGGGAUGGUGCCCUGUUCAGGAUGGGAACCUGAGUGCCUAGCACAGUGCCUGACACAGGAGAGGGACCAAAUUAUUUGUUGUUUGAAACCGAGGACCAUCAGAGAAAAAUAGGGAUAAUUAAAUGUUUAUUAUCGUAACCAGAGAUCUUCUGAAUGUGGUCAGAAGAAUCAGCACCACCUUCAAUUCUUCUUGCUUAGUCAUCUGUUUUGUCAGUAUUUCAACAUAGAGACAAAAAUGCCUCCAGUAUUCUGAAGUUGAGGGAACAGACACUGUGCCUUUCUCACACCUGAGGACGCAGUGAGUCAUAACAGGAUGCUAAUGUUUGCUGGAAACACCGUCUCUCUGUUCUGUGAAGCCCACCAUCAUUCAUAAUCAGCUGUGCCAUCUCCAGAUGUGUUCUUUUGCUAUAAGUCAUCAACGUGUAGCCUGAGCUGGGAAGCACAUUCAUACUGUUGGACCACCUGUUACUGGAACAGAUCGUGUUCAGGCUUCCCAUGAAAUAUACCCUCCCCUCAACGCCCGGAAGGAAUUUGAGCCUGCAGAAUAGAAGCACUUCUCCGGGCUUAUAGCCUCGUGUUGGUCUGCAGGCAAGAAGAAGAAAGAGACAAAGCACAGGACUUUUGAGAGGUUACCACCAGCACCUGUGGAACAUGGACCAAUGGCUGUUAACAAUCAACCAAGUAACUUUCUCAGGGGUUUGAGGGCUCAGUGUUUCCUAGUUAGUAAUAAUUAUUGCAUCUGUUACUAUUAAUAGUAGAAAUAAACUAUUUAAAUAAAGUGAGAAUUGAUUUUGAUGUAUUGUGUAAGGUGAGGAUAUGAGAUUUUUCUUCCCAAGAGCUAGUUGACUGUACAAAUUUCCAAAUUCUUCUUCUCUCCCAGACAGAUAUAAUUCCCCUUUAAAAAAAUACUUCUGUUUUAGGGCUUACUAUAAAUUUUGUGACUCGAUCUCCAAUUGUGUUGCUAAUGUUAUGCUUUUUACCUUUAUGUGUUUUAGUAGCUUAUAAAACUAGCUUCUGCCACCCACUUGCACUACUAAUUACAUUAUUUAUUGAGAAAUUUCUUUGCUAUUAUUUGCUGGUCAUUCUUUCAGAUAACCUGUUUCUGUAAAGAAUAUAACUUUCUAUCAGUUGAGAAAGUUAUUUUGUCUUUUCUAAUAAUAGCUUUGAUCCUUUGAUCCAUCAAAUGUAUUUGGGACCUGAAAGAGGAUGUAGCUUUUGCUAGGAGAACACUGAAGGUUAAUUGCAUUUGUCUGAUUAUUAUAGACUGUUUUUAACACCUUUAAAAUAUGUGUAUGGGCUUUUUCAUUUAGAAUGUGAACUCAUCCAUCACUCUCUUGUGCUUUAAAAAAUCCCCAAUUUUCUCUCUUGCUGCCAGUGCUUGAGGUCAUUCUUCCACACAGAAAAUCAAAGCUACCAUGAUAAUUCAGAUACAACUACUAUUUGCAAGUACUGAACAGUUGGCACUGUGAUAUACACUAGCAAUACAACCCCUUGCAACAACUUUGUUCGACUAAGCGUGUUACGGAAGGGGAAAUGAACACUCAGAGGAUUUGUUUGGUUACAACUCAAGGAUUUCUGGCUGCCACUCUAGUGGAGUGAUAAUAAGAUGGAUUGUUCUUUAAACUUGAAUUCCUACUAUCAAUGUAGCUUGCUAAAAUGUCAUUGUGUUAGGCAGAACUCUAAUAUUAUGCUCAAUAAGUCUUGCUCUUGUAUAAUUCCCUUCCCUUUGAGUAUGCAGGGACCUUAUGAAUGUGAUGAAAUAUCAGUCCUGUGAUUAUCAUGGUUUUUUCCUUCAGGGAUACCACCAAGUCUUCACAGCGAAGAGUCUGGAAAGAUCCCCUUGUGGCUCUGGAAGGAAGAAGGGAAAAGUAACUAUUUUGAGUAUGCUCAGAGCAUUCUCCAUAAGAAAGUGCUACUCUUUAGGGGAAAAUGCUUUAUCAAAGCCUUAUCCCACCUAGGAAGAAGAGCAUUUACCAAUCUCCAGCCCCCUCUAGCCUUCCUGUCUCACCUGAAAAGGGGGAAAAAAAUCUAAGAGACACUUGUGAAGGUCAUAGCCUGGGGCACUGGCCCACUGAAACCCUGAGAUUUAAUCAUAAGAUUAUAGAAUGCUUCCCCUUCCCAAUACCUUGCCAUCACCUCAACAUGGCUCCUCAAGAAUAAGACUGGAUUACAGCUGGAAGAGCUGCAAGGCUCAGACUCUAUUUAAGAAGGAAUUUCUAGUAAAGCCCAAAGACAACAAGGGGACAAAAACUAGGAUAUUAGAGGAAUUUAAAGCCUCUGGCAACUGCAGCUACAGAAAACAUUAAUCAUGGCUCAAUUGUUAGCCAUGUUAACAUGAAACAACAUAAUAAAGGUUCAGUUCUUAUUACCUGGUGCAUCAUGUCUGGCUUUCAACAAAAAAUGACACGGCAUGUUAAAAAGCAAGAAGAAACACAGUAUCAAGAGACAAAGGAAUCAUCAGAACCAGACUCAGAUAUGAUACAGAUGUUGAAAUUAUCAGACAAGGAAUUUAAAAUAACUAAUUACUAAUAUGUUAAGAGAUCUAAUGGAAAACAUAAUUAACAUGCAAGAAAAGAUGGUUAAUACAAGCAGAGAGACAGAAAUUCUAAGAAAGAAUCAAAAGGAAAUGCUAGAAAUAAAACGUAAUGGAUAUAAAGAAUGCAUUUGAUAGGUUCAUCAGUAGACUGAACAUGGUCAAAGAAAGAAUAAGCGAGCUCCAAGAUAUGUCAAUUGAAGCUUCCUAGACUGGAAUGCAGAAAGCAAAAAACAACAACAACGACAAAAAACCCAGAACAUCCAGGAAUUGUGGGAGAAUUUCAAAAGGUGUAACUUAUGUAUAAUUGGAAUACCAAAAGGAGAAGACAAAGAGAACAGAAGAACUAUCUGAAGUAAUAGUUGCCAAGAAUUUUCCAAAAUUAAUGACAAACAGCAAAGCACAAAUCCAGGAAGCUCAGAGAACAUCAAGCAGGAUAAAUACCAAAUAAAAACAAACCACACACAUGCAUAUCAUAUUCAAAUUACAGAAAACCAAAGACAGAGAAAACUUUGAAAAAAAAACAGGAGGGGGAACACCUUACAUACAGAGGAACAAGGAUAAGAAUUACAGUGGAUGUCUUGUCAGCAACCAUGCAAGGAAGAAGUAGCACUAAGCGAAAUAUUUAAAGUGUUGGGAAGAAAAACCCUACAAACCUAGAAUUCUAUAUCCAGGGAAAUUAUUCUUCAAAAGUGAAGGAGGAAUGAAAACUUUCUCAGACAAACAAACAUUGAGGAAAUUAACAGUAGUAGACCUGCCUUAAAUGAAAUGUUAUAAAGGAUGUCUUUAGGGAAAAGGAAAAUUAUAUAGGCCAGAAACUCUGAUCUACAUAAAGGAAAGGUGUUGGACAUAAAUAAAAGUAAAAUAAAAACUUUUAUGGGGGCUGGCCUGGUGGCGUAGUGGUUGGGUUCGUGCACUCUGCUGUGGUGGCCCGGGGUUUGUGGGUUCGGAUCCUGAGUAGUGAUCUGCACACCACUCAUCAAACCAUGCUGUGGAGGCAUCUCACAUACAAAAUAGAGGAAGAUUGGCAUGGAUGUUAGCUCAGGGACAAUCUUCCUCACCAAAAAACACCUUUUAUUUUUUAUUCUUAAUUGAUCUAGAAGAUAGCUAUUUAAAGUAAUAAUAUUAACACUGUAUUGGCUGAUUAUAAUAUAUGGAUAAGUAAAAUGAAUGACAGAAAUGUCAUAAGAGACCAGUGGUAGGAAUUGGGAACACUCUGUUAUAAGGUACCUUUACUACCCGUGAAGAGGUACAGUUACAGUGUUAUUUGAAUGUAGACUUAGGGUAGUUGUAAAUGCAUAUUGCAAACUCUAAGGCAACCAGUAAAAAUUUUUAAAAAGAAAUAUAAUUGAUAUGCUAAGACAUGAAAUAAAAGGGAAUCAUAUGGAAUGCUCAGUUAAAACCAGAAAAGGCAGAAAAAGAAGGCAAGGAGAAAAAAGAGACAAAGAAAAAGGACAAUUAAAUAAAAAUCAGUUACAAACAUGGCAGGUGUUAAUCGAACUAUAUCAAUAGUCACUUUAAGUGUGAAUAGUCUGAAUAUAUCAAUUAAAAGUCAGGGAUUGUCAGAAUGGAUGAAAAAAGAAAAUCCAUCUGUAUUGUUGUCUACAGGAAAUCCCCUUUUAAGAUAAGGACUGAGGUAGGUUAAAAGUAAAAGCAUGGAAAAGCCUAUUCAGACUAAAUCAAGACAUUCAUUGUACACUUAAUCCAAACCUGUCCUCUACCUUUUUCAGGAUCCUGAAGGAAAAGAAAACCUGGUCAUGUUUUUUGUUUCCUAGAGCUCUACUUUUUUCUUCCAUCAUCUGAGUCUUCCAGAGUCAGUACAGAAAGAAGACUUAAGGAAAAAGGGCAAAGGUCUUUAAAUCUAACUGGUGCUGACCCAUGUGGGCUGGAUAUCAUGUCCCCCACCGAUGCUGAUAUUCAAAUACUGGCACUUUCCUAGGCACAUGUGUGGGCUCCAUGGGAACAUCUGGACUGCAAUUUCUCUACACGGCAAUACACUCCCUGGCUGACCUUUCAUGACGCCUACUUGGUUUCCAUCUCUAGUGGUUUACCCCUGGAGUCUCCUGGCCCUUGCAGGAGACCACCACUGGGUAGAGUAGUUUCAAGAAGGUUUGAGCCUAGCUACCUUCAGGGGUACCUACUUGGCCAGUGGGAAACUCCUCCAUAUUUUUGCCAUAAAAUUUUCUGUAAGUGCAGGCUUCUCUCACCUCUGCCUUGUCUUCCUGUUCCCACUAGCCUCCUGACUUCAGAGUUCUUCAGAUAGAAGAAGGGAGCAGUCCUGUGCUCCCAUUUCCUAACCCUGGGAACAUCCCUCAUGUUCUAAGAAUUCUCCCACUGCGCUCAUCCCUCAUGUGGUGGCCGAACAGAGAUGCUCUGUAAAUGUCUAGAGUUUAGGUGAUGCUCCUUUGGGAGGUCCUCACAGGCGUAGGGCAGGAAAGAGAGAAAAGAGCUAAAUGUUCUCCAUUCUCAUAUAAUCUCUUCACUGAACUCUUGCAAAGAAUCUCCAAUCUUCUCUUAGGAAGGCUGGAGGUAGAUGUUGGGGUGGAGAGGCAAAGGACUAGGUUAGCCAUCUGAGUGGGUCUGUAGAGAUAUAUCUUGCAGCUUUCUUGAGAAAGUGAGGGUACUUGUAGCCCACUCUCCAUAGCUUUAGAGUUUUAGAAGUAUUCUAGGAUGACAUUAUAAAUUUCCUUUCCACUGGGCUUUCUCUCCCUAAGUAAUGUCUGCAACUGAUGAAUAAGUAACUACAUAUAAUAUGUAUUUCUAGGCAAUAUUUAAGAGCUUUACGUGUGUGAACUCAUUUAAUCUUUACUACAACUCAAAGAAGUAUAGAUAUGUUCUCCAUUUUACAAAUGAAUAAAAUAAGAUAAAAAUGGAUUACGCAAUUUGCUCAAAAUUGGCCAACUCGUAAUUGCCAGGGGUGGAACCCAAAUCUCUCUAGUUUGCCUCAAAAUUCAUGCUCUUAACCCAUAAGCCAUCCUGCCACUUCAAUGUGUCAUCAUAGUCCCCGGGGAUUACUUUGUCUAUAAAUAAUUAUGGAAUUUUUGCAUUGCUGACAGGAAGUGUGGAUUAACAGACAAAAGCACUGCAGAGCUGAAGUCUACAUUUUAAAGAGAAUAUUUAAUAAGCAGCAACAAUGUAUGGAGUGCUACUGUGAACCUGCAAUGUCACAGGCAGUGGGACUCUAGCAGAAGACCAAAACGGACCUGAUCUCCAUCCUGAUGGAGCUGACAUUGUGAUGCAGUAUUUCUCAAACUGUUUGUUAUCAUCCAUUACUGGGGGGUAAAAUCAAUGCUGUGUAACAAGACCUACAUUAGUUUUUUAAAAAAUUAAUAUAGAAUGCAAUAUAAAUUAUCAGAGCAUAUCACAUGUACAAGGGUAAGUUUUGUUUCAGUCAUAUAUAUUUCUGUAUGUGCACUGGAUUGCAGUAUGUUUUCUUAUUGCAAUUAUGUUUUUGUGUUGAAAAAAGGCACUGGUCUUCGUAGGACUUUACAUAGCUAAUAUAUUAUUGAUGCCUUCUUUUUACAGAAUAUAGGGAUUUAGGUCAUCUUAGAGAGAUAUACAAAACAGGAAGAUAACAUAAAUUAGAAAAUGAUGUAAAGAAACAAGAAGAUAGUGACAUAUAUUAAAGCCAGAAAUGAGACUAAGCUCUCUCGAAUGCAUUCUUAAAUACUUGCAAACUGGGGGAGUUCAUUUUGGCUUUAAUUUUUGUGGUCAAAUAAAAAGAACAAGAAAGGGAAGGCUGAUCAGUUCCAUCAGUUAUCUAAAAGGUCAACGCUCAGGAGUUACAUCUAGGACUGGUAGGAAGGCCAGAAAGAAGUUUGUCCCCAGGGUUCUCCUUAGGAAGAGACUCUAAAAUGCAACACUUUCUCCAUACAAGUAAACACUCAGUUCCAUGACCAUCUACAGGAGAUUAAUUAAUGUUAUUCCUUUCCUUCCUGUCCUAUUCUAUAAUACUCUCCAGGCUCAGAUACACAAGGGAAAGAAAUGGCAUAAAACCCUUGAGAAAAACAUAGAAGGGUGCCAUUUGAACAUCGAUUAAAAUCAACACAGAUUCCGCACUUGGGAAUUGUCAAGUCUAAAUGAGCUUUCUUAGGAAUUCGUUCUUCAGGCACCAACAAUUUUACUAGCUUUGACAAUAAUCCGUACAAUUUUCAUAGGUAAAUCCAACUUUUGCUUCUUCAACUUAGCAAAAUUUAUAAUCACGGGAAAUAAAAUUUUUUGAAACACAUUCACUAUGAGGUGCAUAAGAACAAAAACUAGCUACUUAAUAAGUAUGCAAAAAUGCAGCCCUAAGUAGUAGAAAAUGAAGUCCAUUUAUCUCUUGUUAUGAGUAUUUCUUAAACCCAGCUCCACAGAUAAAAUGUCAAAUUGCUAACCCUGGUUAUUAGUAAUCAUAAUCAAAUGAUGAUAGAAGCCAACUUCCCCAGGGAGAAAAUGUUUGAAAUUUUGACAGGAUGUAGAACAAAGCUAUUAGAAUGGGCUGCUCUGGGGUUGAUUGGUUGUCAUGAUCUAGAGAAAGUAUUUGGCAGGAUCUUAACUUUCAGAUCUUCAUCCUGCUGCCACCUACAAAUGCACCCGCUUUCUGAGAAGGACAUGGUUAGAAUAUAUGCUAAACGAAUCCGCUUGCUUGAUCACCAGCUGACAUGGAUCCCAAAUCACUAUUUUCACGCCAGUCCUAAUGAUGUAGGCUCCGUGGGAUGCGAGCACGGAGACAGCGGCAGGUCACUCAUUUCAUAGCUCAAUUUCCCAGAUGCUAUCUUAGUCCCCUCUUCUUCCAAGGGUCAACCCAGAGACACAGCGCAGCUGUCUGAAGGAGCAGAAGUCCCUGGGUGCAGAGGGUUUCUAAAGGAGCGGUAUCUGCUCUAGUCCAGUUUCGUUCAAAACUCCCAAGUUAUGGCUCCUUAUGUGCCUUAUGUGGUUAUCCAAUUAGAGCCCCCAAAAACUCCAUUUUUCUUCAAGUUGAUUUUAAGAGCUUCCCCCUGCACGGUACAGAAAGGGAGACAGAAGGAGAUGUGCACACCCCACCUGAAGGCUCAAGUGUGCCUCACACAAUGUUGCCAGAAGAGCCCGGCUUCCAGCAUGGACCAGCUCGCUUGUUUAGAACACAACUCUAAUAAGGGUAAGAGGGGGUGACAUUCAGAUCCCUUAUGCAGCUGGUGAACCCAAUGAGUUUACCUUGGAGGGAGAACAGUCAGGAGCUGACUGCUUUUUUCUCUCCUUGUGGUCCUCAGACAUCUCCAUUGUCAGACUUGCCCCCUGAAAUCAUCUGAGGUCCCAGAGUUUUCAGUCAUGCCUCUUUCCGGUAAUUAGGACUCGUUUUCAGGCUUUAAAACUUCCUAGUCCAUUCCAAUGCAGAAGUUCAACCUUACACUCUUACAGUCAAUAUAAUAAUCUUAUAGUAGUAGCACUUCCAUCCCUUGGCUUCAGAACUUCAGCGGGGUGAUGCAGUCAGAAGGUGGGAAAGACGCAAAGCUCCAGGGGUCCCCGUGAUUGGUGCAGUCGUGGUCCAACAGCAGGUGCCUCUGUGAGGCAGGCGGCACCAGAGGCCCUCUGAGCACAUUUGUGAGUUUCUUUGGGAGGCUUCCUGUGUAGCUUUCUGAAACUCUUGCUUGAUUUCCAGACAGGGCAAAGUACAAUCUUCCCUUUACUUACUCAAUAGUUGCAUUCCUGAAAAAUUAGAGCAUGUUAAGAUGGCGCCAAAAGUACUGGGUAUUUACAUGUAUAAUGGAGUUAAGGUCUGGGUUCGGAGAUUUAUAAAGAGGUUUUUCACCAAUGAGACAUUUGAAGGCUGUAGGGGAAGUGGGACGCUUCUCUGUCCUGAGCAUUGCAGAUGUCAAGUAUCCCCACCUCCUCCCACUAAAUGUCAGAGACAGCACUCCCACCCCCUCAUCCUGGUGACGGCCAAAAUUACCCCCUCAUAUUUCCAGAAAUGCCCCAGCGGGGAAUUGUACUGCCCUCAGUGAGCCCUCUAGCCCCUACUUUUUGAACAUGGGACACUUAUCGCCUCCUGUCCUCAACUCUGAGCUUUUAGCUGAAUCUCGAGACAGGAGUCCGGACUAAGAAAAUCCCUACUAGGGGUUUUAGAUUAAACUAUACUUACUGUGCUAAGCACUACAUAUAAAUUCUUGUAAAAUUGUGUUAGGUUAAAUUUCAGCAAAUGAGGAAACUCAGAACAGUUAAAUAACUUAUCUGAGGUCAUUCAGCUAAUAAAUAGCAGCAUCAGAAUUUGAAUCACAGGCUUCUGAUCUAAUACAUUUAAAUAACUAAAUUGGAUUUUUGUAAGAAAGAACAAAGAAAAAACAAUAAUCACAUUAUAAAAUGGAGCCAUGAUAAAGUUUAUAUUCGUAAAAUGCUUGCCAUAAAGUUCAACAUACUGCCUAAGGCUGGACCACAAAUUUUCCUCUGAAAUAAAAACAGGGAAACAUUUUCAACUACACCAUUCACAAACUCACAAAGUUAAACUAAAGAGAAUCACUUUCCCUAACUUUAAGCCUACCUUUCUUUCUGAAAUUCUGUGGUCCAAAUUAUCUAUUGCCCCCAUUUGGCAUUUAGUCCAUAUUAGCUUGUACAGCUAUUUAUCUCUUUACUGAAAAUUCAGUAAAUUUGACCUUUUGAGAAUUUUCCUUGGGCUCAUUUUGAAAGGUACUGUAGAAUGUUGAUUUUGUGAAAAAUGAUGAUGAUCCUAGCUCCCUAAGCUGUCUGGAGCCUGCUCUCCAUCCUCAGCGUUACUCACUGGUAUCCUGACUAUCUCCUCAGCUCUGGCAUGGCUCCAAACUGUCCCCCACAUUGCUGCUAAAUUCUUCUUUCUAAAAUGCACGUCUAACUGUACCUCUUAUCUGCUUCAACUAUUCCAGUGAGUUCUUAAUAGCAAUAGGAUAAAGGCUAAACCCUCACAGCGUGGCGGUAAACUUUUCUAUGACUCUCUGGUUCCUGAUUAUUCCAGUCUAAUCCUAUGCCCGCUCAUACCCAACAUUACCAUCUAUUGAACAACUUUGUGCACAGCAAAGCUUUUUGGACCUGGAGCAACUUGCUCAUGCUGUUCUUCUUGCUUGGAAUACCCUUCAUAUCCCAUGCUCCCGUUACAUAUGUCUUCCUUGCUUCGCUCAAGCAUCAUUGCAUUAGUGAGGUUUCAAUUACUAUAGGCUAGGUAGUAAAUAAGCCCCCCCAGUUUUGGUGGACCACAAUGAUAAUCACUUAUCUUGUAAGAGAGCAAAAAGGGGCUCGUUCUGCUUGCCACAAUCUGGUGCCAAUCAAUUGCAAACAAUCCGGUGGUUGAGAAAGGCAAAUUGAUAUGAUUAGCCAGCAUAAUCGGAAGAUGAUGGACUAGUGCCCUGAAGAACCAUCUUAAAAUCAUAAGACUCCUGAGGCAGUUGUAGAGGGGAAAUGGGCGGGGAAGGCGGGGAGUUGGGGAAAUCGAUUAUCUGGUGUGAUGAAAUUCAAGGCACCACAUUAUCUCUUUCUUCUGUCAUUCGUGAUGGGUACCAAUGCAGCAAUUUUCUUUCUGGAGGUCGUAGUGUUCCUGGGGAACUCAGAGAACAAAGCUGUCUUACCACAGCUGGGAGAUAUAUGUAAGCAAGACUCAUAGAAUUAGCAGAUCGUGUAUUUUGUAAAAGCAAAAGGUGCUUAAUCAUCUAGGCUACCUGCAGGUUGGAAUGUAUUCACAGAGACUAGUGAGUCAGGGUCAUGGUUACAAUAUUGCUUCUUUUCCCUAAGAUGGCUUCCCUCAUGUUAACUUAAGAUCUAGUGGUUACAAUUUCAUGCUCACAGGUUUGCAGGUCAGCCAAGGGAGCUCUGUGAGGCUGUGGGUCAGGUUUAUAUUUGCUCCUCGUAUCUCUCAUUAUGGGACCUAGGGCUACCCACGGCCUAUUUUUCUUCUGGUGGAUGGUAGGUCAAGAGCAGCAGUCAAUCACCAAAGCACAUUUAAAGCUCUUUAACAUUCUGUUGCCCCAUGCAAGUCACAUGGCCAAGCACAAAGUCAAUGGGUUGGAAAAGUAUACUCUGCCUCUUCAACAGUCAGAGUCACAGUAACGUCUCACGGAAACUGGUGUGGAUGCCUAAUUCUGUUAUGGAGAAGUAGUGAAGACCUGGGAACUAGAAUUCAAUUGGUCCUAAUCAUCUCUAUGAAGCUUUCUCUAACUAUCCCAAGUCCUUGAUAAAAUGAUCACUCCUUUCUUUGUGGACCCACUCACAACAGACAUAAUUCUAUAAUAGCAUCUUUAACAUAUUUAAUAAACUCCCUUCUUUAAGUGUCUGUCCUCCUCUAUUACAUGGUAAAAUCUCAUUUUAUUCACCUUUGUGUUUUUCAAGUUUAUCACAGACCGUGGCACACAUCAAUAAAUAGUUGUUGAAUUAAUUAUUUAAUUUUUAACUAAGUACAUUGAGCAAAAGAGUGUAAAGCACAAAGAGGAUAAAGUAUUAAGAGUAUAAAGUAUAAGAGUAUAAAGAAUCUAAAUGGACCAUGAAAAAUCUCAACCACAAAUAGGAAAACAAGUUGUAGAUCAUUCAAUCAAGUUCAUAAAGAGAGGAGGCCCGUUGAUUACCCAUCUGUCUUUGAAAGCAUGAUAUAAAGAUGUCCAAGGCAAAGACUGUUGGGAGUAUGUGUCUGGUUUCCUGUGAGCACGUGGGGCAAUUGCUUAAGACUGGUUUGAUCCAGAUGUGGUGGACCUGCUGCUGUGGGCGGGAAGGGAGCUCUUGCCCAGGGAAAGUGUGGUGAGAGUCUGUUAGAAGGAGGAAACCUCAAAGGAAAAACGGUUCUGAGACCUUAUUUACGACAACGUUUUGUGUAGCCCUUUAAGUGGGGAAGUGGCUACUUUUUAAACAAAAAUUGGUCUGUUGAAAAAAGAAAAAAAAGGGACAUUGGUCAUUUGUUCUUGUAGAUCAUGCAACAAACAAAAAUGUCUCUGAAAGAAUGCAUGGUGUUUAUUUAUAAGAUGGGAUUAAAUUUGUGAAACUUCAGUUUAAUUAAAAUUAUUUUUCAUAUUUGCAACCGUCCACAACAUAUCUGUACAUGAACACAGAGGUGACGAGGAAGAAU
Molecule: long non-coding RNA, 11758 nt
Organism: Equus caballus (horse)
Lineage: Eukaryota; Metazoa; Chordata; Mammalia; Perissodactyla; Equidae
Source: Ensembl